RNAcentral lists this ribosomal RNA (497 nucleotides) under uncultured bacterium. RNAcentral describes it as "partial 16S ribosomal RNA". It matches the Rfam family "Bacterial small subunit ribosomal RNA", at positions 28 to 507 of the family's 1533-position model. The record is from RNAcentral.
GAUGAACGCUGGCGGCGUGCCUAAUACAUGCAAGUCGAGCGAACAGACGAGGAGCUUGCUCCUCUGACGUUAGCGGCGGACGGGUGAGUAACACGUGGAUAACCUACCUAUAAGACUGGGAUAACUUCGGGAAACCGGAGCUAAUACCGGAUAAUAUAUUGAACCGCAUGGUUCAAUAGUGAAAGACGGUUUUGCUGUCACUUAUAGAUGGAUCCGCGCCGCAUUAGCUAGUUGGUAAGGUAACGGCUUACCAAGGCAACGAUGCGUAGCCGACCUGAGAGGGUGAGCGGCCACACGGAAACAGAGACACGGUCCAGACUCCUACGGGAGGCAGCAGUGGGGAGUCUUCCAGAAAGGGCGAAGGCUGGAAGGAGCAACGCAGCGGGGGUGAUGAAGGUCUUCGGAUCGUAAAACUCUGUUAUUAGGGAAGAAAAAAAGUGUAAGAAACUAUGCACGUCUAGACGGUACCUAAACAGAAGGCCACGGCAACCUACGUG